RNAcentral lists this ribosomal RNA (253 nucleotides) under uncultured bacterium. Its description in RNAcentral is "partial 16S ribosomal RNA". It matches the Rfam family "Bacterial small subunit ribosomal RNA", at positions 524 to 776 of the family's 1533-position model. The record is from RNAcentral.
UACGGAGGGGGCUAGCGUUGUUCGGAAUCAUUGGGCGUAAAGGGCGCGUAGGCGGCCGAUCAAGUCGGAGGUGAAAUCCCUCGGCUCAACUGAGGAAUUGCCUUCGAUACUGUUCGGCUUGAGUCCUGGAGAGGGUAGCGGAAUUCCUGGUGUAGCGGUGAAAUGCGUAGAGACCGGGAAGAACACCAGUGGCGAAGGCGGCUACCUGGACAGGUACUGACGCUGAAGCGCGAAAGCUAGGGGAGCAAACAGG